Molecule: ribosomal RNA, 478 nt
Filed under: uncultured bacterium
Lineage: Bacteria
Description: partial 16S ribosomal RNA
Rfam family: Bacterial small subunit ribosomal RNA
Source: RNAcentral
GAUGAACGCUGGCGGCGUGCUUAACACAUGCAAGUCGAACGAGAAGUGAAGACGGAAACCUUCGGGCGGAAGGCUUUAUUUCGAGUGGCGGACGGGUGAGUAACUCGUGGGUAACCUGCCUCAUACAGGGGGAUAACAGUUGGAAACGACUGUUAAUACCGCAUAAGACCACAGCACCGCAUGGUGCGGGGGUAAAAACUCCGGUGGUAUGAGAUGGACCCGCGUUCGAUUAGCCAGUUGGCGGGGUAACGGCCCACCAAAGCGACGAUCGAUAGCCGAUCUGAGAGGAUGACCGGCCACAUUGGGACUGAGACACGGCCCAAACUCCUACGGGAGGCAGCAGUGGGGAAUAUUGCACAAUGGGGGAAACCCUGAUGCAGCGACGCCGCGUGAGUGAAGAAGUAUUUCGGGAUGUAAAGCUCUAUCAGCAGGGAAGAAAAUGACGGUACCUGAGUAAGAAGCCCCGGCUAACUACGUG